RNAcentral lists this ribosomal RNA (467 nucleotides) under uncultured Flavobacteriaceae bacterium. RNAcentral's name for it is "bacterial SSU rRNA". It matches the Rfam family "Bacterial small subunit ribosomal RNA", at positions 40 to 500 of the family's 1533-position model. Lineage: Bacteria; Pseudomonadati; Bacteroidota; Flavobacteriia; Flavobacteriales; Flavobacteriaceae. The record is from RNAcentral.
CGGCAGGCUUAACACAUGCAAGUCGAGGGGUAACAGGGAUUGCUUGCAAUCCGCUGACGACCGGCGAACGGGUGCGUAACGCGUAUGCAACCUACCUUUUACAGGGGAAUAGCCCAAAGAAAUUUGGAAUAAUACCCCAUACGAUCUACAAUUGGCAUCAAUUGAAGAGGAAAACUCCGGUGGUAAAAGAUGGGCAUGCGUCCUAUUAGUUAGUUGGUAAGGUAAAGGCUUACCAAGACUUCGAUAGGUAGGGGUCCUGAGAGGGAGAUCCCCCACACUGGUACUGAGACACGGACCAGACUCCUACGGGAGGCAGCAGUGAGGAAUAUUGGACAAUGGAGGCAACUCUGAUCCAGCCAUGCCGCGUGCAGGAAGACUGCCCUAUGGGUUGUAAACUGCUUUUAUACGGGAAGAAUUGCAUCUACGUGUAGAUGCUUGACGGUACUGUACGAAUAAGGAUCGGCUAA